GGGACACACUUCCUGCCUCCGCGAAGCGCUACCGCGCACCUGGACCGAGGCCCCGCCCCGGGGCUCUGCAGAGCUGCGCGUCCCCGCUCGAGUGCUCGGCCCGUUCAGCCUAGUCCGGCCCGCCCCGCGGCCCCGCCUCCCCGCAGCGCUGACCUCCACGCCCGGACCCCUGGCCACCCCGACAAGCUUCGCCGAGGUGCCGACCGACCGACUGAUCGCGGACGCCGGCUGGAAGGACUACGGAUCCGCAGGAAGAGGCAGUUGGGGGCCAGGGGCCCAGUAGAGGAGGCUGAGCUCCUUCCAACUCCUCAGAACCUCCACUCUAUGGAUCUGGACCUCUGGAUUCGGCUUUCUCCCUGGGCACUGCCUUCAGGAAGACGUUGAGAAUUGACCUUACACAAUCCCAGCGCCCUCCUCACAGGAGCCUUUCACUUUACAGUGGCAAGGGGCUGGUUCUGGAGAACUGGCUGAUGCUCUGAAUUUCUUCAUAUACCCCACAUUUGACUUUGGCUUACACUGUACAAUUGGAGAUGUUGCUACAGGUCCCUGAGAUGCAAUCAGAUUAAGCGUAGCAAGCAUUGCCAAUGGGAAAGUCAAAAUAAUUUAUUUUUUUUCCCUUUCCCCCUACCCCAUCCCCAGCCAAGAAUUUCUUUUCAAGAUAUCGUCAUCAUUCUUAAACAACAUUCUUAACCCCCAGCUGGGGUCCCCAUUUUAAUAGAUGUCAUUGCUUCAAGUCUAACGGCGCCGGGAGGCCUGUUUGAGGGAAAACAUUAGUUUGAAAAAUCCCCGUUCCCUUCAUCCACUGCCCUUGUUCUCCACGUGGGAGUGUGCUUGUGGCCCCUCAGAAAGAUAGUCUGCUGGCUCCUAGGGGUUGGGGUGGGGGACACACCUUUUUCUCAGGAAGAGGUGAUGGCAAUGUAAAACAUCUAAGCAAAGUUUUAAAUGAAAAAAAGGAAACACAUUUAAACAUCCUGAUAAUGGAGGGAAGGGGGGCACAUUUACACAUAGCCCAGAACUUGUAGAAUUCUGCAUAGUGAAUGUAUAUUGAAUUAGUCUCCUGCCUUAUACAUUCAGGAGGAAUAAAUUUCCAUAAUGUAAGGCAAAUGCAUGGGGUUCUGAGGUUCACUUUGCAAGUGCCCUUGCUGCCUUUCCUCUGUGUCUAUUAUGGCUCUUUAAGUUGACGGUUCCUGGAGCAGCUUGUAUUUAGUUUCGUUUGGCAGUCUGGCCCUGUUGACUUUGAUUUGCAGACCAAUUCUCCCUUGACCUGACUCACAGCCGCCUGCUCUUACCCCCCUCCUCAGGAAGUCUUCCUCAUUAAAGGAUGUGAUGACGGAGCUCAGGGAUGAGAAUGCACAUGUGAGACUGUGUGACACCAAGGAGGGUUGUGCGAACUGGUGACAACAUGGCAGCACCAUGGCCUGUGGGGGUUGUGUGACUAGUGUGACUGUGCUGGCGACCAUAUGGACCUGUUUUGUCAGUCGGUGUCUAAGCAGGAGAUGGCACACUCAAACUGGGAAGUGUUUUAAACAUAGGCUAUUCUGGCCUGGCAUGGUGGAUCACACCUGUAAUCCCAGCACUUUGGGAGGCUGAGGCAGGAGGGUUGCUUGAGCUCAGGAGUUCGAGACCAGCCUGGGAGAUCCCUGCUCUAUAAAAAUGAAAAAAUUAGCCAGGUGGGGUGGCACAUGCCUGUGGUACCAGCUACUUAGGAGGCUGAGGUGGGAGGAUUGCUUGAGCCCAGGAGGUCAAGGCUGCACUGAGCUGUGAUCCUACCACUGUGCGCUCCAGCCUGGGCAACAGAACAAGACCCUAUCUCAAGAAAUAAAACAGACUAUUUCCAAAGGCGUGGGCUGGGCUUAAGAAACUAACAAGGGGCUGGGUUUGGUGGCUCACAUUUGUAAUCCCAGUACUUUGGGAGGCCGAGGCAGGCAGAUCACCUGAGGUCAGGAGUUUGAGACCAGUGUGGCCAACAUGGCGAAACCCCAUCCUAUUAAAAAUACAAAAAUUAGCCAGGCGUUGUUGUGUGCACCUGUAGUCCAAGCUCCUUGGGAGGCUGAGGCAUGAGAGUGGCUUGAACCUGGGAGGCGGAGGUUCAAGUGAUUCUUCUGCCUCAGCCUCCCGAAUAGUUGGGAUUACAGGCGCCCAUCACCACACUCAGCUAAUUUUUGUAUUUUUAGUAGAGAGAGGGUUUC
Molecule: long non-coding RNA, 2189 nt
Filed under: Homo sapiens (human)
Lineage: Eukaryota; Metazoa; Chordata; Mammalia; Primates; Hominidae
Description: HSALNT0290964
Source: RNAcentral